Molecule: ribosomal RNA, 447 nt
Filed under: uncultured bacterium
Lineage: Bacteria
Description: bacterial SSU rRNA
Rfam family: Bacterial small subunit ribosomal RNA
Source: RNAcentral
CCCAGACUCCUACGGGAGGCAGCAGUGGGGGAUAUUGCGCAAUGGGGGAAACCCUGAUGCAGCGACGCCGCGUGAGUGAAGAAGUAUUUCGGUAUGUAAAGCUCUAUCAGCAGGGAAGAAAAAAGACGGUACCUGACUAAGAAGCCCCGGCUAACUACGUGCCAGCAGCCGCGGUAAUACGUAGGGGGCAAGCGUUAUCCGGAUUUACUGGGUGUAAAGGGAGCGUAGACGGCAAUACAAGUCGGAAGUGAAAUACCCGGGCUCAACCUGGGAACUGCUUUGGAAACUGUAUGGCUGGAGUGCUGGAGAGGUAAGCGGAAUUCCUAGUGUAGCGGUGAAAUGCGUAGAUAUUAGGAGGAACACCAGUGGCGAAGGCGGCUUACUGGACAGUAACUGACGUUGAGGCUCGAAAGCGUGGGGAGCAAACAGGAUUAGAUACCCGAGUAU